CCUCCAGCCUUACACUAAUGUUCCUAGAAAGUCAAUGUGUUCCCUUGAAUCUGAAGUAUAGAGCAUCUUUGGAGAGGAUUCAAGAGUUGGAGGACUUCCUUGCCAAAGAAAGAGACCACUUUCGGCACACGCUGUCUGACAAGAGGGAGAUGGCAGAAAUAAGGGACCAGAUGCAGCAGCAGCUGAAUGACUAUGAGCAGCUUCUCGAUGUAAAGGUUGGCUUGGAUACGAAAAUCAGAGCUUACAGAAAACUUCUGGAGGGUGAUGAGGAGAGGAAUUUCAGUUGAGUUUAUCUCAAAGUAAGAGAUGGAGAAAAGAGGCCUCAGUUGUCAGAGGAGAAAGGAAAGUCACAGAGUUUCAGGUUUACUAUGUCAUCUCAAAUGCUUGCAGCAAACUUGAUCAUGAUUACUGAUGAAGGCACAAGAGGAAAUCAACCAUUUGAUUAAAGAUGAAUAUUUAAAAAAUUGAGUGUGGUGUGCUAAGCAAUGAGAACAAGAACCAUAGAUACAUCACCUGCCC
Long non-coding RNA from Manis pentadactyla (Chinese pangolin), 519 nucleotides. RefSeq lists it as uncharacterized. The transcript is spliced from 3 exons. Lineage: Eukaryota; Metazoa; Chordata; Mammalia; Pholidota; Manidae. The record is from RefSeq and is a predicted model, not a curated record.